GAAAAUCGACUGUUGCUUCUCUAUCAAUGUAUGCGUGUCACAUACACGCGAAUAACAACAAAAUUGGCAACAACAAUGUACUUCCUUGGAAUAUAUUAGUAUUUGAUGGCUGUUGAUUUUCGACCGGGGGGCAGGUGGUUGUGGCGGAGCAGUAAACGGAGUAAAUACAGGAGCAACAGGACUUUUGCCGUGAGACCAAACGAACCGAACUAAAUGCGAGCCGAACGCCUUGUGCCGUGAGUAAGCGAGUGUGCGUUCUACAUGGGAAUGGCAAGCAAAACAAGCAGCGAACGAAUGUCGAAAACAGGAGUCCGCACGAAACCGUAGUGUGGCGCUAAGCAUUUAGCCGCGGACGAAGACGGACGGCCCGUGCAUGGCAAGGCGAUUGGUGAGAGCGCCCAUAUACAUAUACGCGCGUAUGUGUGUUUGUGUGUGUGUGUGUGUAGGUGUGCGGUGUUUCAGGCAGGCUUACAGCCUGAACCGACAUUUCGCAAUCACUGGCACAGUUCGAGUCGAGCCGUUGCGAGGAUAAGUCGCUGAACGCGGAAAGUGAACUCAGCCAGAACUGCGAACAGUGGAGACAAAUUGUACAUACACACACACAUACACAUGUGUGUGUUCCUGUGGCAACAGCAGGCAGCAGUGUACCUGUCAGUGCGUUAGUAUUGGUGUUAGUGUCGGUGCUAGUGGUGGUGGUGGUGUUGCGCAGGUGUUGGUGAUACGCGCUUUUUGCAAAAAUGUAUAAUUAUACUUUGAAACUUUAGUGCUGCUGCAGUGGUGUUAGUGUAUUGUAGCCGUGUGCGAUUGCUUUAAAGAUUAACUUUUAAAUUCAAGAAGAAAUAUUCACAAAAACAAACGAAUAAUUAAUUAUUAUAUGCAAGUAGUAUGCAAUCGAGAAAAUAUAAAA
This is a long non-coding RNA of Bactrocera dorsalis (oriental fruit fly), 907 nucleotides long. RefSeq lists it as uncharacterized. The transcript is spliced from 2 exons. The record is from RefSeq and is a predicted model, not a curated record. NCBI's taxonomy places the organism in Eukaryota, Metazoa, Arthropoda, Insecta, Diptera, Tephritidae.